GACUCAGCGAUCCCAGCUGCUUUGACCAUGUGAUUUUACCAUUGCAUCUGGAAGUUUACCCCACGAUUGCCAUGGAGAAGGAAGAGAGAGCCAGAAGAAGAGAAUGGGCAUCCCUGGCAGAAGACUGGAGGCUUUUUGCUGUAAAGGAAGCAGACCCAGCUGAGGGAGGAGUUCUGGACAAAAGGAUAAGAGAGAGAUAUGCCC
Choloepus didactylus (southern two-toed sloth) is the source of this 204-nucleotide long non-coding RNA. RefSeq lists it as uncharacterized. NCBI's taxonomy places the organism in Eukaryota, Metazoa, Chordata, Mammalia, Pilosa, Megalonychidae. The record is from RefSeq and is a predicted model, not a curated record. The transcript has 3 exons.